GAAGGACAGGGAUUGCUAGGGCGAGCAGCAGCAUUUGCAGCCAGAGGACUAUAAUGACAGUAGCAGCAGGAUGCAGCCCUCUACUUUUGUGUCCCGGACGAAGCUAAGAAAACUGGUUACACACUUGCACUAAAUACUGCUGCUCACAAUGUAUAACGCAACUCAGCAGGCUCCUGAGGUCAUGGGCUAGACCACGCUGACACCACACAGGAUGCUCCAGCAGCAAAGGGGAGGUGGAGAGAUCUGGGAGGAAAAAAGGAAGGAAGGAAGGAAUGUAUUCUUCUCCAAAUCACUUUGAAUUAAAAAGAAAAAAACACUGAAACUAGAAAUUCCAGUUGAGCAGUGCUGAAGAACUUCCAACAAAAUGAAGAUCAUUUUGUUUCCUUCUGAAUUUGGCAUGAAAACUAACUGUCCCUUUUGAGCUGCUUUACUUAAAGUGUUCUGUUGUCCAGCCAAUAUGAAACAAAGCCUUCAUGGACUUCAGAUUGUGCAAAAGUGGCAUUUUGGCUCACUUACAAGAAGGCACAUCUCAUGAACAAGUGUAGUGGUCAACCAAAGAGACCUUAUCUGCAUUUUACAACAUCUGACCGGUGAGGUCCCAGAGCAACACAGAGAAAUAACAGCAAUAUAGCAAAAGGCAGUGAUGAAAGUAACUGAACACGCACAGAAAGAACAUCUCUCUGAUAGCUUUACCCCACAAACUACUCUAAAUCAGACCCAAGACAGAGCCCCACAGAUUUCACUCUCCACGUUAGGCAAAAAGGGGCAGAGCGGCACAGUAGUUACCUGGAUCUCACCCCCAAACUAACAUGUUUCAGGCACAUGUUUCAACUUUGUUAAAAAUUGUUGGUCCCAACUAUAAAUGGCUGCGUUUGUCAUCCAAGCUCCAGAGUCCAAGACAGCUAGCUACGUCCAGCCCCUGCUCCGUGUCAGCCACUGAGACAGGAGGAUUUAGCCACAGCUCCCACAGGGCCACGCUGGAUCAGGGCAUGCUCUGACCUUUGGAUGCGUCAAACGAAGAUGCAUGCUCAGCUGUACUGGCCAUGGUUUGGCUGCCGCAGGGAACACCACAACUUCCAAGUUUUAUUAAUGAGGAAAAAAAUAUGUACUGUCAACAUUUGCAACAUGAAGUUAACAUGAAAACAAAACUGACUCCAGAGGACAAAUGAAGUUUACUGGAUUAGUUUCUUGUUCCAGCUCCCCUGACAAAUAGCACUGAACUUACCACUGCAACCAUCAGUCGGUUCAAGGCAAAUACCGCUCAGGUUGCCUUGGCAAGUAUAUACACACCAGCACAAAAGCAGAAGCAUCCGUGUUUAUUCAGAGUGGUGGGGAUUCACGGCGCUUUCCCUUCCCUCUAUCUUCCCAGCCUAGACAGCACGUCUGCACCACUUCAUACCAGAACUACUUAAACGCGCUGUGCUCUGUAGUUAAAUGCCUUCCCCUCCUUCUCCUCUUGCAUUUUGCUAAUACAGACACCCGCAAGCUCCUGUUCUAGCAAAACAGAGCCACAUUACGUAAUUGCUGCAGAGACUGAGAAAGCCACGUGUUUCAGUGGAAACUGAGCCAGGUCAGGGUUUUCUCCCAAACGUUCAGCAGGGCUUCUCCUUUCCCUCUCCUGCUACCUCAAAUACGCAGCCUAGCGAAACAGCCACCCCGACGUGAGAGCGCUUCGGAGAAACGCUCUGCCAUUAACCGAGCCUCUCCCGUUGCAGGAGGAGGGCACGGGGGAUCACAGAAGAUAGGGGAGAUCCCAGUAACAGUCGGGACCACAGUGCUCGAUCGCUGCUACGGGUUCAUCUCCUUCACUGUUUCUGAUCCUCUCAGGAGACAUGGAAGAGAAAGGAUCUUACAACACUCUACCCUGUAUCUUCUGGAGAGCUGCAAGGCGAGUGAGAGUUUCAGCUCGUUCUGAUUUCAGCACUUCUCCCAGGGCUUCCUCCCCUUCCUCAAGUCCGUCUGCUGUCAGAGCUACGUUACGGUUAUCAGAGGAAAAGCCUGCCCUAGCAACUCAUUCAUUACCCAAUUACUCAGUUCAGUUUUCCUUCUUUUUGCUGUAUUACAGUCCCAAGAGUAAUCCGCUCACGUAGAGUCUUGCAAGAUAAAUCAAAAUUAAAUUAAAAGAAAUUAGCCCAAACUUAAAAAAAAAACCCACCUCUUUACACACUAAAAAACCCAAACAAACAAAACAAAAAACCCUCCCAAGAGAUAAGUGAUUUUCCUACCUGGUUAUCUCUGACCACGAUUAUUUUUAUACUGCUUUAGUACUCAAACAACGUUUCUCAUCUAAAGGCUCUCUAGCGUCCCCGCACCUAGGCUGCACCCACUGUAGCCCUGCAAUCUCACAGUCAUCACCAAAACCAAACAGAUCAGUCUGGAUAUAAAGAAACAGAAAUUUUAUGAAAACCUGAUCAAUAGCUUUAUAAAUAUCCUUCUUGCUCUGUCGGGGGCUAUAACCCCUCUGACAGGCAAUAACGCCAUGUUGGUCUACCAAAAUUGCCACUUCACAAACGAGCAGGAAAGUUGCCUCGGUGCUGCGUACGUGCUCCUGCUACCGCACUGACCACAUCCUUCCCAAACCAGACAGCAGCUCAAGUGUUCACAACCGACGGUUAAUCCUGCUAUCUUUUAACUUUAAACGUGCUCCUGUAUAAGAUUACGCGUCCAUACACAUAUACGUGCGCUAUUUCACCUAAGCCUGAACUUUUCGGUAUUUUUGAGAAAAUGUUUUCCUACCAGAGUUCAUAUUUUAGUCACUUGCUCUAUAGCACUUUCUUUUACACAAAUGAUGGGUUCUUGUUUAAGAACUACAGUAUAUUGGUGGGCAUAUUAAAGGACUAAGGAGUAUUGCAUUA
Molecule: long non-coding RNA, 2855 nt
Organism: Dromaius novaehollandiae (emu)
Lineage: Eukaryota; Metazoa; Chordata; Aves; Casuariiformes; Dromaiidae
Exons: 2
Source: RefSeq, a predicted model, not a curated record